Molecule: long non-coding RNA, 250 nt
Filed under: Solanum tuberosum (potato)
Lineage: Eukaryota; Viridiplantae; Streptophyta; Magnoliopsida; Solanales; Solanaceae
Description: long non-coding RNA (STUB_LNC011798)
Source: RNAcentral
CACGACCUUGCCAUUUUAAAUUGCUAACCUCAAUUAAAACGACAAACUAUGCGUGCUCUCGCUUAGAGUAUAAACUUAGAGCAUUUUUCACUAAUAUAAAACAAGUUGAAAUGAAAAGUUAAGCCCAAACUCUUUUUUUCAUGUCAACAAUGAUCAAAACCUAAUUUGUUAGAAUAAGUCAUCAAAUAUUUUAGUGAGCUAAUCUUAAUUAUACCCAAAAAAAUUAGUCCACUCUAAACUUAAAAGCAAG